This 283-nucleotide long non-coding RNA is filed under the name Sinocyclocheilus grahami. RNAcentral's name for it is "lncRNA (ENSSGRG00000004588.1)". Lineage: Eukaryota; Metazoa; Chordata; Actinopteri; Cypriniformes; Cyprinidae. The record is from RNAcentral.
CGAUCAGACAACCACAUCAACACAACUCAUUUAAUUUCAGGUGAAAACUUUGCCAAUAAUGGAAAGCAGCAAGUUCAUGUCAACUGACAGAGCUACAGUUAUCAUCCAAGUAAAUCCACAAGUGAAACAAGAUAAUGUUAUUUGUGAUGACGAACAGCAGGCCAGAGGAGCAUAUCACAAUACUGCUCUUAAAGGAUUUUUCAAAGCACAACCAAAGGCACUAGGGACUGUCCAGAUAAUGAUAGGAGUGGUGAUUUUCUUGUUUGGUAUUGUAUGCACCACU